CGCGAUUCGCCCUUCGGGGUGCCCAGGCGCGAAAACUUUGCAAUGCGGGAAACCGUGACAAGGGAACUCUGAGUGCCCGUUAAAUCGGGCUGUCCAUCGGUUUAAAUAACCGGUGAAGAAAGGGCCGGGCAAGACCGGUGCCAGCCGCCGCGGUAAUACCGGCGGCUCGAGUGGUGGCCACUAUUACUGGGCUUAAAGCGUUCGUAGCUGGUUUGUUAAGUCUCUGGGGAAAUCUUCCGGCUUAACCGGAAGGCGUCUCAGGGAUACUGGCAAACUAGGGACCGGGAGAGGUGAGAGGUACUCCAGGGGUAGGAGUGAAAUCCUGUAAUCCUUGGGGGACCACCUGUGGCGAAGGCGUCUCACCAGAACGGCUCCGACAGUGAGGGACGAAAGCUGGGGGAGCAAACCGGAUUAGAUACCCGGGUAGUCCCAGCUGUAAACGAUGCGCGUUAGGUGUAUCGGUGACCACGAGUCACCGAGGUGCCGAAGAGAAAUCGUGAAACGUGCCGCCUGGGAAGUACGGUCGCAAGGCUGAAACUUAAAGGAAUUGGCGGGGGAGCAC
This 562-nucleotide ribosomal RNA is filed under the name uncultured archaeon. Its description in RNAcentral is "bacterial SSU rRNA". It matches the Rfam family "Archaeal small subunit ribosomal RNA", at positions 312 to 879 of the family's 1478-position model. The record is from RNAcentral.